This 382-nucleotide ribosomal RNA is filed under the name uncultured eukaryote. RNAcentral describes it as "partial 18S ribosomal RNA". It matches the Rfam family "Eukaryotic small subunit ribosomal RNA", at positions 592 to 976 of the family's 1831-position model. The record is from RNAcentral.
UGUAAGCGUAUACCAAAGUUGUUGCAGUUAAAACGCUCGUAGUCGGAAUUUGGCAGUUCCGGAUGUGUGCACGUCGUAUGCGCACUUCGCGGGGAUUGCUUUUGUGGUCUUGCGUAGGAUGAGGCACUUUUAUUAGUGAACGUCCUCACGCAACCACUUUUUACUGUGAGAAAAUCAGAGUGCUCAAAGCAGGCAUUUGCCGUGAAUGUAUUAGCAUGGAAUAAUAGAAUAGGACUUGGCUCUAUUUUGUUGGUUUGUUGGGACUGAGUAAUGAUUAAGAGGGACAGUUGGGGGCAUUUGUAUUUCGGUGCUAGAGGUGAAAUUCUUAGAUUACCGAAAGACAAACUGCUGCGAAAGCGUCUGCCAAGGAUGUUUUCAUUGA